This 492-nucleotide ribosomal RNA is filed under the name uncultured bacterium. Its description in RNAcentral is "partial 16S ribosomal RNA". It matches the Rfam family "Bacterial small subunit ribosomal RNA", at positions 29 to 507 of the family's 1533-position model. The record is from RNAcentral.
AGUGAACGCUGGCGGUAGGCCUAACACAUGCAAGUCGAACGGCAGCACAGUAAGAGCUUGCUCUUACGGGUGGCGAGUGGCGGACGGGUGAGGAAUACAUCGGAAUCUACUUUUUCGUGGGGGAUAACGUAGGGAAACUUACGCUAAUACCGCAUACGACCUACGGGUGAAAGCAGGGGAUCUUCGGACCUUGCGCGAUUGAAUGAGCCGAUGUCGGAUUAGCUAGUUGGCGGGGUAAAGGCCCGCCAAGGCGACGAUCCGUAGCUGGUCUGAGGGGAUGAUCAGCCACACUGGAACUGAGACACGGUCCAGACUCCUACGGGAGGCAGCAGUGGGGAAUAUUGGACAAUGGGCGCAAGCCUGAUCCAGCCAUACCGCGUGGGUGAAGAAGGCCUUCGGGUUGUAAAGCCCUUUUGUUGGGAAAGAAAAGCAGCAGGUUAAUACCCCGCUGUUCUGACGGUACCCAAAGAAUAAGCACCGGCUAACUUCGUG